CCUCCUUUGUGUUUUGAUCAGUGCCCCCCGAAUACUUGCCAAUUGAGUGGUUCCAGAAAGAGGACCAGCCCACCCUGGAGGAGAUGCAGCUCCACGCCUGGAUCCAGCAGGCCUGAUAGACACUGGAGUGUGGGGAUGCACCCCACUGACUGCCGGAAUAAUGGCAAUGAGACAGAGAAACAAAUGGCCCAUUGAGGAGAAAAUUAUUUAGAGAAUGGCGAUAAAUGGAGAUAUAGAAUGGAGAUAUACACCAGUGAGCCAAAAAUUGACAAUUCACAGAUGAAGUGAAUUAUCUCCUAAGAAUGACACAUGUCUUUAAGGCCUGCGAUAUAUUCGAGGGUACGGCAGGCCAAAGCCACAGAAGAAGCCAACGGAAGAGGGGCGGGCCAGUGAGGAGACCACGGCCCAAAGACUCCCUCCUCCACCAAGAACAGUUCCGAGUAGCCCGGCUGGGCCAAUCAGAGGAGCUCUACCUUCACUGCCAACUCGACGGGCACCCCUGCCAAGCCCUGGUGGACACGGUGUCCACCAUCACCCGGCCUGGCGUGCUCCCCAACACCACGGGCACACUUCCACCAAGCUGAGAACGGCGACUGGUGAACGAGCAGAGACGAGAGGAUGCAAGCUGCUGUGCGUCAGCAAACCCACCAUGACUUCUGGCUGGUCAUGGUCAUGGUCACUAAAACAUAGGCGUAGUAAAAUAGCUUAUAGUGAGUUGUAAUAUUUAGAAAAAGUAAAUACGGAGUGGCUUCACCUCAAUGUAAUGUAUUUGGACUUGGCAAUUAAAAAUAAUGAUGUCCUCUGAAAAGGGGUGGUGGUGGAGGGAUUAAUAAUAAAAGAAAAAAAAGAAAGUUCAG
Molecule: long non-coding RNA, 857 nt
Organism: Conger conger (European conger)
Lineage: Eukaryota; Metazoa; Chordata; Actinopteri; Anguilliformes; Congridae
Exons: 3
Source: RefSeq, a predicted model, not a curated record